AUGUCGGCCACCUCCUUCGACCGUGCAGCGGAGCUCCGCGCGCUGGACGCCACCUACGCCGGCGUCCGCGGCCUCGUCGCCUCCGGCGUCACCCACGUCCCGCUCAUCUUCCGCGUCCCCGACCAACACCACGAACCACCGCAGGACGACAUCGUCUUUGCCAACCAGGAGCCGGCAGCCAUCCCGGUAAUCGACCUCGCGUGCGCCGACCACGCAGCCAUAGUGGCCGCCGUCCGCCGGGCCGCGGAAGAGUGGGGGUUCUUCGAGGUGAUGGGCCACGGCGUGCCGGAGGUGGCUAUGACCGCGGCCAUGGACGCGGUACGGGCAUUCCACGAGACUGAUGGCGGCGAGGGCAGUGACAAGGCGGGGCUCUAUUCGCGUGAGCCGGCGAGGGCGGUCAAAUAUCACUGCAACUUCGACUUAUACCAGUCGCCAGUGGCCAAUUGGCGCGACACACUCUACCUCCGCAUGGCGCCCAACCAGCCUGAAGCCGAUGAUCUGCCGGAUAGCUGCCGUAAUGUGUUGUUUGAAUAUGCCCACCAAAUGAAGAAUUUAGGGAACACUUUGCUCGAGCUGCUCUCAGAAGCUCUUGGACUCAAACCAAGCCACCUAGCAGAUAUAGAGUGCAACCAAGCACAGGUCUUACUGUGCCACUAUUACCCUCCCUGCCCCCAGCCAGAACUCGCCAUAGGGACAAGCCGACAUUCAGACGGUGGCUUCCUAACCAUACUUCUCCAAGACGAAAUCGGCGGCCUCCAGAUCUUCAAGGGGGAGCAAUGGGUAGACGUCACUCCUACUCCCGGAGCAUUCAUCGUGAACAUUGGUGAUCUCUUACAGUUGAUCUCCAACGAUGGGUUUAGGAGCGUGGAACAUAGGGUUUUGGCGAAGAACAUUGCUCCACGGGUCUCGAUUGCAAACUUCUUCGGAACGCACAUCGAUCCGACAUCGACAAGGAUUUACAGUCCAAUUAAGGAGUUAUUGUCUGACAAGAAGCUACCGUUAUAUAGGGAAACCCUCGCUAGUGAUUACAUCAAACAUUACUACUCCAUUGGGUUAGAUGCAAAAACUGCUAUUUCUCAUUACCAGCUAUGA
RNAcentral lists this ribosomal RNA (1092 nucleotides) under Triticum aestivum (bread wheat). RNAcentral describes it as "partial small subunit ribosomal RNA". Lineage: Eukaryota; Viridiplantae; Streptophyta; Magnoliopsida; Poales; Poaceae. The record is from RNAcentral.